AACGAACGCUGGCGGCAUGCCUAACACAUGCAAGUCGAACGAGACCUUCGGGUCUAGUGGCGCACGGGUGCGUAACGCGUGGGAACCUGCCCUUAGGUUCGGAAUAACUCCCCGAAAGGGGUGCUAAUACCGGAUAAUGUCUUCGGACCACAGAUUUAUCGACUUGGGAUGGGCCCGCGUUGGAUUAGCUAGUUGGUAGGGUAAAAGCCUACCAAGGCGACGAUCCAUAGCUGGUCUGAGAGGAUGAUCAGCCACACUGGGACUGGGACACGGCCCAGACUCCUGCGGGAGGCAGCAGUGGGGAAUAUUGGACAAUGGGCGGAAGGCUGAUCCAGCUAUGCCGCGUGAGUGAUGAAGGCCUUAGGGUUGUAAAGCUCUUUUACCCGGGAUGAUAAUGACAGUACCGGGAGAAUAAGCACCGGCUAACUCCGUG
This 433-nucleotide ribosomal RNA is filed under the name uncultured bacterium. RNAcentral's name for it is "partial 16S ribosomal RNA". It matches the Rfam family "Bacterial small subunit ribosomal RNA", at positions 29 to 507 of the family's 1533-position model. The record is from RNAcentral.